CUCAGCAAGUUAGCAUAAUUGGAUGAUUUUUCCUAAUUAGUAACUAACUUAGCUGGGCUCCUUUCUGUAGGAGGGCAGUUGCCCUCAGGUUGGUGGUUAUCUGAGAAAUUGGUCUGGGUGGAGUAAUGUCAGUUUCCUUAUUACAUCUUUAAAUGGUGAGUGAGUCACUCUUCACUUCCAUCCUUAGAAGAUAAAACUCGUCCGUCCAUCACACAGUAAAAAUCUGGCGUCAUGGUUUUGGGCUAUUAUGCUAAUAGAUAUUGAUGCUUCUGAGACCUUUCCUACUUUUAUUUUCACAGUUCUUUCCACGUAAGUAGAGCACAGACUCGUGUUAUUCCCCUCAAAUGGCCCUUCCAUUAUUAGUUUUCCCUCCCUCUUGGCACUAUUUCUAAUGGGAACCUCCAUUUUGGCUGAUGUGCGUCAUCUCCUGUUGACACUUAUGUUUGGGGAUAGUUGUCUUCUCUUAUCCAUUUUGGCAAUUAGGAACACACCCCUAAUUGCUGUUAUGUAUUGCGGGAGUUUGGAAGGACAUUAACGUAUUUCCUGACCCUGCAAAAAUCUAAAGCAAACCUAGAAGGAAAUGUUUCGUCUGUUUUUAUUUCACUGUGGUUUAGCUUAGGUGAAAGUCAUCAGUAGACUAAUUAUUUACUGGGUGUGGAUUCCCAUAUAUUUAUUGAAAACCCUGAAUAUUUUGGAAAAUUUUGAAACAUCUGGAAAUUGACUUGUGGGCACAAUUUCUAUGAAUAUUUAUUAUGUGAGGCUGUUACAGAUUCAUUCAUUCGUUUAUUUAAUAAAUAUGUAGUAAACAUCUGUUAUGUGCCAGUCACUGUUUUGGGCACUUUGGAUAAGUAGAAUCAUACAUUAUUUGUCUUUUGGUGAUGGGCUUAUUUCCUUUAGCAUAAUGUCCUCAAGUUUCAACCAUAUUGUAGCAUGUGUCAGAAUUUCUUUUCUUUUUAAGGCUGAAUAAUAUUCCAUUGCAUGUAUAUACUAUAUUUUGUUUAUCCAUUCAUCAGUUGAUGGACAUUAGAGUUGCGUUUACCUUUUGGCUAUUGUGAUUAAAGCUAUUAUCAACAUGGGUAUACAAAUAUCUGUUCAGGUCCCUGCUUUUAUUUCCCAUGGGAAUUCUACUUCUCGAAAGUAGAAUUACUAGAUCUUAUGGUAAUUCUAUUUUUAAUUUUUUGAGGAAAUGCCAUACUGCUUUCCAUAGUAGCUGCAUUAUUUCACAUUCCCAUCCAUAGUGCACAAGGGUUCCAAUUUCUGCACAUCAUCGCCAACAUUUGUUAUUUUCUUUUUUUUCUUUUCUUUAUUGUGGCCAUCCUAAUGCACAUCAGGUGGUGUCUUCUUGUGGUUUUGAUUUGCAUUUCCUUAAUGAUUAGUGAUGUUGAGCAUCUUUUCAUAUGCUUGCUGGCCAUUUGAAUAUAUUCUCUGGAGAAAUGUCUAUUCAAGUUCUUUGCCCAUUUUUAGAGUCAUAUUGCUUUUUUGUUGUUGAGUUGUAGGAGUGUGCUAUAUAUUCUGGAUAUUAAUCCAUUAUCAUUUCAUUGUUAAACAGGUUGAAUUUAUCACUCUUUAUUUUUGGAUUGUGAUUCUAUUAUCUUAUUUAAGAAAUGAUUAAUUCUCCAAGCUCAUACAAAUAUUUUCUUAUUUUGUUUUCUAAACAUUGAAUCAUUUUGCCUUUCACAUUUAAGGCUUUGGUAGUUUGGAAUAAUUUUUUAGUAUUCUUUUUUUUUGAAUCUUUGAUACAGAAUCAAAUUUCAUUUUUAAAAAUGUGGAUCAUGGGGGCACCUGGGUGGCUCAGUCGGUAGGGCAUUGGAUUUGAGUUCAGGUCAUGAUCUCCCCAUGAGUUUGAGACCCACGUCGGGCUCUCUGCUAUCUGGUUUGGAUCCUCUGUACCCCCCCCCCCCACCGCCCCUCUGCCACUUGUUCUCUCCCUCUCUCUCUUUCUCUCAAAAAUAAGUAAAUAUUUAAAAAAUGUAGAUAAUGAUACUUUGAGCAUAUUUACUGAAUGGUGCCAUCCUUUCCCUGUAGUGCCAUAUUGUCAAUAAAGAAAGUGUCCACUGCCUCCUCUGUCCUUAAGAAAAUCUUCAUAUAGGUGAGGAUUCAUUUGGUACCAGUUUUCUAUCUGUGCCAGAACCAUAUCAUUUUUGUCACAAUUGCUCCAUAAUAUAACAUGAUAUUUGGUAAGGCAAGAACUCCACCAACUCCUUGCCAUCAAGUCAAUUUUUAUUUCUCCAUUCCUCUUUUUUUUUUCAUUCUUUUUAAAAAUAUAAUUUAUUGUUGGGGCGCCUGGGUGGCUCAGUCGGUUGAGCUUCUGACUUCGGCUCAGGUCAUGAUCUCACGGUCUGAGUUCGAGCCCCGCAUCGGGCUCUGUGCUGACAGCUCAGAGCCUGGAGCCUGCUUCAGAUUCUGUGUCUCCCUCUCUCUCUGACCCUCCCCUAUUCAUGCUCUGUCUCUCUCUGUCUCAAAAAUAAAUAAACAUUAAAAAAUAAAUUUAAAAUAUAAUUUAUUGUCAAAUUGGUUUCCAUACAACACCCAGUGCUCAUCCCAAUUCCUCUUAUAUAAAUUUUAAAAUCAGCUUUUUAAAUACAAUAAGAUCUUAAGAUGUGCCUUAAAUCUUUAAAACUAUUUGAGAAAAUUUGACAUCCCUAUGAUAUUGUGUAUAUCCAGAAAAUUGAAUAUCCUUUCCAUUCACUGAGGUCUUCCUCAAUGUCCAUUAGUAAAAAGUUAUUUUUCCAUAUGUGCUUUCAUAUCAUUUUUUAGAACAACUUCCAGAUAUUUAUCUAAUAUUGUUGUUGAGGAUAUCUUUUAUUUUUAUUUUUAAAAUGUUUAUUUAUUUAUUUUGAGAGACAGCAUGGGAAGGGCAGGGAGGAGAGGGAGAGAAAGAAUCCCAAGCAGACUGCACUGUCAGCACAGAGCCCAGUGUGGGACUUGAACUCAUGAACCUUGAGAUCAUGACCUGAGCUGAAAUUAAGAGCUGAACAUUCAACUAACUGAGCCCCAAAGACAUCUUUUAGAAAUCACAUUUUCUAGAUAAAUUUUACUAUGUAAAGAAAUGCAAUUGAUAUUUGCCUAGUGAUUUUGAUCAACUUUGUACAUUCUAUUCUUUUCACCCCAGUUUUUAUUUAUUUUUUCCAGCUUUAUUGAGAUAUAAUUGACAAAGAAAAUUGUAAUAUAUUUAAACUGUACAAUGUCAUGAUUUGAUACAUGGAUACACCAUGAAAUGAUUCUCACAGUCAAGUUAAUUACCAUAUCCACUGCUUCACAAGUUACCUUUGUGUGUGUGAGAGGGAAAACUCCUAAGAUCUACUCUCAGCAAAUUUCAAGUAUGCAAUACAAUAUAAUUAACUGUAGUCACCAUGCUACAUGUUAAGUCCUCAGAACUUAUUCAUCUUCUAACUGGAAGUUUGGACACUUUUACCAACCUAUCCCAUAUUCCCCCCUCUCAAGGCCCCGGCAACCACCAUUUUGUUCUGCAUGAAAACGUUCUUGUUGUAAACAAAUGUAGCAGUGUGUAAUGAUAUCCAGUAAAAUAUCAAAGUCCCUCCUGGUUUUUGUCCUCCCUACUCUCCCAGUGUACCCUUCCAGCUGUUUGCACCCUCCAACUGGUUUUCUAUUCAUUUGCACACGUGCAUAGUAUGUAAAUACACAAGUGCCACACAUGAGUUAUCUGUGUUAUAUGCACUGUUCUCUAACUUGCUUUGUUCACUGUACAUAAUAUGCCUUAGAGCAUGAGUAGGUGCCUAAUGUGGUAGAAACUGCGCCCCGACUCCCAAAUUUUUAACUGGGCAAUGUCUGCCCACAAUAAAGACUGCUUUUUCAGGCAUUCUCUGCAGCUAAUUGUGACAACGUGAUUAAGCUAGCCAAUGUGAUACAAGCAGGAGUAUAUGUGGCAUGUUCUGGAAACUUUAAGAAGAAACUGAGGGGCGCCUGGGUAGCUCAGUCGGUUAAGCGUUCAACUUCUGCUCAGGUCAUGAUCUCAUGGUCCGUGGGUUUGACACCCACAUCGGGCUCUGUGCUGACACCUCAGAGUCUGGAUCCUAUUUCAGAUUCUGUGUCUCCCUCUAUCUCUGCCCCUCCCCCGUUUGCACUCUGUCUGUCUGUCUCUCUCUCUCUCUCAAAAAUAAAUAAACAUUAAAAAAAUUAAGAGGAAGCUGACACAAGUCUUUGUCCCAUCUUCUCGUUUUCCUUCAUCCUGCUGGCAUGGGUGUGAUGGCUGGAUCUGAUGGUUGGUUCUUCCCCUUGGACCAUGAGCCAAGGCCACAUUCUGGCUCUGGUAAAGUGGAAAGCUGAAAACAACCUGGGUUUCUGUUGGUGUUCUGGUGCAAAGCUGUGAUCAUAGCCCUGAAUGCUCUACUUCUGCAGUUUUAUGCGUGAAAGAAAGAAACUUCUAAUUGUAUAAAGUCCUGUUAUUCUCGUACCGUUACUCGGAGCCAAACCUAAUUUUAAGUAAUUUGUUCAACCACUCUCUUACUAAGGGACCUUCAGAUUAUUUCCAGCUUAUUGCUAUUAUUGAUAAUGCUGAACAUGUUCACAUUUUUCUUUAGGAUGGAUUCCUUAAGAUUUUUUUUUUUUUUUGCCAGUUCUUGUUAAUCAGAUUUAUUGAGGUUUCAUAUAUCCAUAAUACAAUUAGCCUUUUUUAGCCUACAGUUCUAUAGAUUUUGCCAAAAACAUGGUCAUGUAGCCACUACCAUAACGACGAUAUAGAACAGUCCCCUGACCCCCCCCCACCCCCAAUUCCUCUGUAUCCCUUUGUACUCCGUCUCUGCCCACAGCCCCAGCUCCAGGCAAACACUGAUCGCUUUUCUAGGUCUGUAGUUUUGCCCCACCAUGUGAUAUACAUGGAAUUAGACAGUGAAUUCUUUGAGUCUGACUUUUUCAGUUGGCAUAAUGCAGUUGACAUGCAUUCAUGCUGUUGAGUGUAUUUAUUAAACAUUUGUUAAUUUUUAUUGGACUGUUUUCCACUUUUUUUGGCGUACUGCAGUUUGUUUAUCCACUCACUAGUUGUUUCCAGUUUUUGAUAAAUAUGAAUAAAGCCACUAUAAAUAUU
Neofelis nebulosa (Clouded leopard) is the source of this 5044-nucleotide long non-coding RNA. RefSeq lists it as uncharacterized. Lineage: Eukaryota; Metazoa; Chordata; Mammalia; Carnivora; Felidae. The record is from RefSeq and is a predicted model, not a curated record. The transcript is spliced from 2 exons.